UUAAGGUGGAGGGAUACGGUGAUCCAGGAGGUGGCUUUCCCAAGGAAAGGCUCAUGCAUCGCAUUCAGGAUGUCCUGACUCCUAAACUUCCCAGUACAGAAACGACACUGUAAAUUGUGAUACUAGGAGAGUGUGUUCAUGUUCUCCAG
Molecule: small nuclear RNA, 149 nt
Filed under: Mus spicilegus (steppe mouse)
Lineage: Eukaryota; Metazoa; Chordata; Mammalia; Rodentia; Muridae
Description: U1 spliceosomal RNA (ENSMSIG00000002335.1)
Source: RNAcentral